Molecule: transfer RNA, 75 nt
Filed under: Erysipelothrix sp.
Lineage: Bacteria; Bacillati; Bacillota; Erysipelotrichia; Erysipelotrichales; Erysipelotrichaceae
Description: tRNA-Thr
Rfam family: tRNA
About the family: Transfer RNA (tRNA) molecules are approximately 80 nucleotides in length.
Source: RNAcentral
GCCGCAGUGGCAUAGGGGUAUUGCACUUCCAUGGUAAGGAAGGGGUCGUGAGUUCGAUUCUCACCUGUGGCACCA